UCGAAAACAACCUCGGAUGUAUUUGGAUGGUUUACACCCUCAAAAAGUGGUACGUUUAAGUCCGCUGCAAGUAGAUCGCGUAGUAAUUUUAUUUAGCAGUUAAACUUUGUGACUUUACUCUUGGGAUUCUUCAUUAUGUUUGCUAAAAUACAAUUCAAUGAGAAUAAAUUUAAACUUAGAUCAAUAAAUACGACUCUAAAACAUUACAUUUAAAUAAUGAUAUAAUUCAAAAUUUUACGAACUACUUCAACAGAUGUACCGGCAUACAUCCGAGGUUGUUUUCAAUAAAAUGGCCGAGGAGCUCCGAAUGACACAAUAUGGCGGCGAUUAUGCGGAAAUGAAAUUGAAUGUUACUUCGAACACGUUCUUCUACAAAAUAACGGACCUGUAGUUAGUGUUAUUGCUUUAACAUCAAUCGAAGCAAAAAUGGCAUCAAUGUAUGCGUCUAAAAAUGUUAAAUUUAGAUGGAGACAAUCCAGAAAUGAGCUGUGAGGAAGUGAUCGAUUUCGGACACGAAGAUUGAGAAGUGCCUGGAUACAAGGCUAGUAUUGUUAACAUCAUCUGAUACAAUCAACUGGAACAAAGCUGAAAUGGCUGCCUGACCUGACUUAAAAAUUGGAUGGCAGUACAUCAGACUAGAAGAUUACAAGUAUUGAGUUGGACAAAAUGAAACCUGAGCCUACCAAAGCUGACAGAUUGCACAAGAAACACAUAAUUGCAGCUAUUUACUGAGAUAUUGUAAUUAUUUUUUGAAACUUCUCAUUCAUUUAGGAAGUUCAGUUGAAACAGAGUUGGCAAAAAAAAUGAACAAAGAAACCAUAUUGAGGAGCUGGUCCACCUGUAGGAAGAAUUGCGCUAUUGGUUGGAGCAGCACUAUUACCCAGCCAUACACCAGCACUUAGUUUGUCAUAGGGAGCAUUUCUGAGCAGUUAUGGAGACCACUAACUAUGCAGUUGUUGCAGUGAAACUUGCACCAGUGUGUUUUCUGUGUGGAGAUAAAGAGAUAGUGUCCAGCAAUGAAGACCCAACUCAAGAUCUGACCUUGUAAGGCCAAUAUGAAAUAACUGUGUGAGAAAAUGGGAAAAACCUGCAGUCAGGAAUGCACGGAAAUCAUCAAAAGAACAGUGUUAAAUUAAUCUUGAAUAACUUGACAUUUAUUUUGUUUGACAUAUUUAUUCAUGGUGCAGUGAAAACAUUCUUUUUUUCUCAUGGUUAUUUAAAUUUAGAAUUGAUAGGAGGGAACAUCACUAUGUAGUUUCAUGUUCAUAGAUCAAAACCCAUGUACAUGCCCAAAUGAGCAUUCGAAAAUAUCAAAAUGGUACUUGUUGUAUGUAAUGUAAGUUAAUUAACAUAAUAAACAAAAAUAUUUAA
Long non-coding RNA from Mya arenaria, 1371 nucleotides. RefSeq lists it as uncharacterized. The transcript has 4 exons. The record is from RefSeq and is a predicted model, not a curated record. NCBI's taxonomy places the organism in Eukaryota, Metazoa, Mollusca, Bivalvia, Myida, Myidae.